GGGAAAGGGAGGAAGUUUCUCCGUUUCUGAUUAUGCGCAGAGUUUCCUUGUACUGAGCUUAUGUUCUCCACCCACUACUUAGUAAGAACUCCUUAACAACUUAAAGCUUUAUCCCUGUGAGUACCAGAAAAGUGAUUUGAGUAUUUAUUGAGCAGGGAGAACAAACUGCUUGCUCCAGGCAGGGAGACAGCUUAUGGAAAUAAUAUUAGACCUUCAGCAAAGUGCACAGCUGCAUCAUACAGAAGCUGAGACUCAAACUGACAGGCAAAUAAGCCAGAUCAAGGAAGGGGCCUCUGUGUGGCAGCUCUGAGCUACCAAGUGUUGGACAACUAGGCAAAAAGUGCAAUGGAACAGGGCAGAAAAUAGCACACUAACUUCAGGCAACUGUUGCUUUUUCAUGGUGCCUGCCUGCCUUUCAGUUUUGCAGCGGAAUCAUUGAUCGUUCUUACCACCUCACAACCUACAGAGCAAGAGAAGCCAACUUUAGGAGCAUGCUCAUACCCUCAGUGGAGGAGUGGGAAUUUAUCAUCUGUACAUCCUCCUGCGGGAAGAGGAGAGUAAACCAGCACCGUCCCUCAUGGACUUGGCAAGUCUGGCCAGGGGGCCAGGGCAAUGAACCCAACAUUGCAUUUAUUUGGACCUGGCAUGCUCAGAAGAGUAGUAGUAUGUGGUGCACAGGUAAAUCAUACAUGCCAGGGCCCCAAGAAAAUCCAUUCCCUGCCUCCCACUGAUGCGUAGCUGUCUUGGGUUGGGGCACAAGUGUCCAGUCUUGAAGAGAGCUGUGUGAAACCUCAGUGGAGACCACCCUCUUCUCUGAAACUGAAUUUUCUCUGGCCCUGCUGCUUCACAGCCCUGCUUCUGCCCAGCCCUGAUGAUUUGGGCACCACCUUAACACCAACCCUGUCCUGUCCUGCCCCGUCCCGGCUGGGCCUGGGGCCUGCAGCAGUGCUUGGGGAUGGCCGGGCUGUGGCCAGCCCUGGUCACUAUCCCCAGCCCAGCCCAGGUUGCUUCGCUGGAGCUGCAGGAUGAGGCUGGUUGAGGAGGGAGGCACUGCACUGCCCUAGUGGCCCUGGGCCUUGACCCUGCAGCCCCACAGCCCCAGUGGAGUAGGGUAGGGUGUGCAGAAGAUGGUUCUUUUUUGCAGUCCAGAGUGACACUUGGGCCACGCUGGAGGCAACACAAGGUUUCUCUUAGAUCAGUCUUUUGGUCCUAGCUCUGAGUUUUCUCUUCUUUUCCUUGGCUAUAUUGAAGCAGUUUUGUAAAUAAUCGAGUCUGAGAAUGCUAACGCUAAUUCAAAAAGAAGUAAGCUCUAAUGCUAGAAUGUCUUUGUAGAUACAGCAACAUUGAGUAUACCCUAGAGCUUCAGUCUCCACAAAUACAUUGGGUAAUGGUCUUUUUUUUUUUUUUUUUUGUAUUUAAGCUUUUCUGUUGGUAGUCUGAGCUUUUGACUUUGCAGAAAACAAUCCACCAUAAGUUUUUUUUCUCCACUGCUGUGGGAGGACACCACAGCAUCCUGAUGCUGUGAAUCCUUACCUUCCACAACCCCCACAGUCUGCAUCAUUCAUCUCCUCCUCCACCUGUCAAGGUUUCCUUGCAUUCUUGGCAAUGACUACAGAGGAAAUUAAAGGCUUUAUUUCCAGCCUAGCUUCAGAUGUCACAAAUAUGGAGGCCAGUUUCUGAAAAAUCCAGUUCUAAAAUCUCCAGUGUUUAUUGUUUUCUGUGCUUACCAGCCAAGAUCUUCUCCCUGAUGUGGCAAAAUACUGCCAUCUGUAAGAUACGUCAAGCUAUAUGUUAAUGUGUUGGUACUUGCAAAUGCCAUAAGCUAAUUCAUGGGCUUGCUGUGGUUUAAGAUGUGGUUUAUGAUGUGGUGGUUUAAGAUAUGGUGUGGUUUAAGAUAUGGUUUAAGACUUCAUGGCACAUAGUGGCUUGUUUUUAAUGUUGUUUUUUUUUGUUUGUUUGUUUGUUUGUUUUUUUUGUCUUUAAUUUAGUCUGACCCAGUUUAAGUGUUCCAGCUUGGGACAGGUCCACAAGUUUGGGUAAUUUCAUUUAGACAUACUCUUACACAUAAUUGGACUUUGUGGCUCUAAUCUGUGCAUGGAAACAAGUGAUAAUAUAUAUUGGUAGAAUUAACUUGCCUGUAUUGUUGUAACAUUACAGGAUGUCCUCAGUAGUGUAGCAGUAGUGCUCCUAUACCUUCUUGUAUAGAAUAUUCAUUGUUAAAAGAUGUGCAGAAGUUAAUUGAUCUCAAAACUUACUUUUACUUGAUCAUUACCAAGACAUUUAGCUAUUAAUACACAGUUUCAUGAUGCAUUAAAUGAGUUAGGAACACAAUUAGCCAAUUCUUCCCAUUACCGUGACUUAAAUUUCAUCUGCUUUUUUGGCAUUCUUGAUUUUGUUUUAGUAGUUUAUAAAUGGUAAAGGAAAAAAAGAUAACAGAACUUCAGAUUUCCACCUGUGCAUAUCUGUACUUUGCCAUAGGGACAUGAUUAAACAGGUAGUAUAGGUACAGUCUAAGUUGUUUAAAUGGACUUCACAUCAUCAGGUGUUCUUUUUGUCUUCCCUUGAGAAACUUAGUGUAAAGAAUAUAGACAGUAGACUUGGCUCAGGUUGACUUGAUCAAUUCAUGGUGUGUGGACAGUACCCAGUUUGAAGCAGAUAGCCUGCUUAAUAAACCUCCUGCUAUUUAGAGAGAAUAUUUGUUU
Anser brachyrhynchus (Pink-footed goose) is the source of this 2702-nucleotide long non-coding RNA. The record is from Ensembl. Lineage: Eukaryota; Metazoa; Chordata; Aves; Anseriformes; Anatidae.